Molecule: unclassified non-coding RNA, 344 nt
Filed under: soil metagenome
Description: partial contains 5.8S ribosomal RNA, internal transcribed spacer 2, and large subunit ribosomal RNA
Rfam family: 5.8S ribosomal RNA (bases 1-120)
Source: RNAcentral
GAUGAAGAACGCAGCGAAAUGCGAUAACUAAUGUGAAUUGCAGAAUUCAGUGAAUCAUCGAGUCUUUGAACGCACAUUGCGCCCCCUGGUAUUCCGGGGGGCAUGCCUGUCCGAGCGUCAUUGCUGCCCUCAAGCCCGGCUUGUGUGUUGGGCCCCGUCCCCCUCUCCGGGGGACGGGCCCGAAAGGCAGCGGCGGCACCGAGUCCGGUCCUCGAGCGUAUGGGGCUUUGUCACCCGCUCUGUAGGCCCGGCCGGCGCCAGCCGACAACCCAUCAUCCUUUUCAGGUUGACCUCGGAUCAGGUAGGGAUACCCGCUGAACUUAAGCAUAUCAAUAAGCGGAGGA